UGCUGACGAGUGGCGGACGGGUGAGUAACGCGUGGGAAUCUACCUAGUAGUGGGGGAUAGCCAGAAGAAAUUCUGAAUAAUACCGCAUACGCCCUACGGGGGAAAGAGGCCCUCUUCUUGAAAGGUCUCACUAUUAGAUGAGCCCGCGUUAGAUUAGCUAGUUGGUGAGGUAAGAGCUCACCAAGGCAACGAUCUAUAGCUGGUCUGAGAGGAUGAUCAGCCACAUUGGGACUGAGACACGGCCCAGACUCCUACGGGAGGCAGCAGUGGGGAAUAUUGGACAAUGGGCGCAAGCCUGAUCCAGCAAUACCGCGUGUGUGAAGAAGGCCUUAGGGUUGUAAAGCACUUUUAUGAGUGAAGAAGGCUUAGUAGUUAAUACCUACUGAGAUUGACGGUAACUCACGAAUAAGCACCGGCUAACUCCGUGCCAGCAGCCGCGGUAAUACGGAGGGUGCAAGCGUUAAUCGGAAUUACUGGGCGUAAAGGGUACGUAGGCGGUUAGAUAAGUUGGAUGUGAAAGCCCUGGGCUCAACCUAGGAACUGCAUCCAAAACUGUUUAACUAGAGUGUAUAAGAGGUUAGCGGAAUUCCAGGUGUAGCAGUGAAAUGCGUAGAUAUCUGGAGGAACAUCAGUGGCGAAGGCGGCUAACUGGUAUAACACUGACGCUGAGGUACGAAAGCGUGGGGAGCGAACGGGAUUAGAUACCCCGGUAGUCCACGCCCUAAACGAUGAGAACUUGCUGUUGGUUGCGUAAAUGCAGUCAGUAGCGAAGCUAACGCGUUAAGUUCUCCGCCUGGGGAGUACGACCGCAAGGUCGAAACUCAAAGGAAUUGACGGGGGCCCGCACAAGCGGUGGAGCAUGUGGUUUAAUUCGAUGCAACGCGAAGAACCUUACCAUCCCUUGACAUCCUCAGAAUUUGUCGUAAUGAUUUAGUGCCUUCGGGAACUGAGUGACAGGUGCUGCACGGCUGUCGUCAGCUCGUGUCGUGAGAUGUUGGGUUAAGUCCCGCAAUGAGCGCAACCCCUAUCUUUAGUUGCCAGCACGUAAUGGUGGGAACUCUAGAGAGACUGCCGGGAUAAGCCGGAGGAAGGUGGGGACGACGUCAAGUCAUCAUGGCCCUUACGGGAUGGGCUACACACGUGCUACAAUGGUGCAUACAGAGGGUUGCCAAGCCGCAA
This 1179-nucleotide ribosomal RNA is filed under the name uncultured bacterium. Its description in RNAcentral is "bacterial SSU rRNA". It matches the Rfam family "Bacterial small subunit ribosomal RNA", at positions 86 to 1260 of the family's 1533-position model. The record is from RNAcentral.